Molecule: ribosomal RNA, 745 nt
Filed under: uncultured bacterium
Lineage: Bacteria
Description: bacterial SSU rRNA
Rfam family: Bacterial small subunit ribosomal RNA
Source: RNAcentral
ACGCUGGCGGCAGGCCUAACACAUGCAAGUCGAGCGGAUGAAAGGAGCUUGCUCCUGGAUUCAGCGGCGGACGGGUGAGUAAUGCCUAGGAAUCUGCCUGGUAGUGGGGGACAACGUUUCGAAAGGAACGCUAAUGCCGCAUACGUCCUACGGGAGAAAGCAGGGGACCUUCGGGCCUUGCGCUAUCAGAUGAGCCUAGGUCGGAUUAGCUAGUUGGUGAGGUAAUGGCUCACCAAGGCGACGAUCCGUAACUGGUCUGAGAGGAUGAUCAGUCACACUGGAACUGAGACACGGUCCAGACUCCUACGGGAGGCAGCAGUGGGGAAUAUUGGACAAUGGGCGAAAGCCUGAUCCAGCCAUGCCGCGUGUGUGAAGAAGGUCUUCGGAUUGUAAAGCACUUUAAGUUGGGAGGAAGGGUUGUAGAUUAAUACUCUGCAAUUUUGACGUUACCGACAGAAUAAGCACCGGCUAACUCUGUGCCAGCAGCCGCGGUAAUACAGAGGGUGCAAGCGUUAAUCGGAAUUACUGGGCGUAAAGCGCGCGUAGGUGGUUUGUUAAGUUGGAUGUGAAAUCCCCGGGCUCAACCUGGGAACUGCAUCCAAAACUGGCAAGCUAGAGUAUGGUAGAGGGUGGUGGAAUUUCCUGUGUAGCGGUGAAAUGCGUAGAUAUAGGAAGGAACACCAGUGGCGAAGGCGACCACCUGGACUGAUACUGACACUGAGGUGCGAAAGCGUGGGGAGCAAAC